AAUACCAAACACCCAUUUACAAACACAAAGGGUUUAAAUACAACACUGGACUUUCUACAAAAUAGACCAGCUCGACGAAAUGGGAACUAUCCUACAACCGACUAGCAGGACACGCUCUCCAACCCUUAUGACUUCACCUCUGCAACUCCUCAAGGCCAACCAAAGCUAUCUGGCCACUCCGUCCAUCGGGGACCUGAAAUUUUAAUCCCACAACCGGGAUGAGACGAUGUCUCAGCAAGUUCAACCCCCUAAACCCCUAUUAGAAAGAAAAUACGCCCCGGGUGGCCUAGCCACAUCACACAGAAGACUUACCUCGCCUCAGCCUUCAUCUGCAGGUUAGCACAAUUUAUAUAAUCCAACCACGUACAAUUAUGAUAACCAAACAACCAUGUCACCAUCACAUUAUCCAGACAAUUCAACCACUUGGAUCGUCACAGCGAUCAAUCGACUCGGCCGAUUACAUGUCAUUCUAGCAAAUCAAUCAUUGCUCUCAACUACGGCCCUACUCGGCAAAUUUGAAUCAGUGGCAUCACGGCCCCACUCGGCGCGACCUUUAAUAGGUGGCAAUUCACGGCCCCAUUGGGCGCGACCUCUAAUAGGUGGCAUAUCACGGUCUCAUCGGGCACGACCUCUAAUAGGUGGUUUAUCACGGCCUCACUGGGCACGACCUCUCAUAGGUGGUAUUUCACGGCCUCAUCGGGCACGACCUCUUGUAGGUGGUAUUUCACGGCCUCAUCGGGCACGACCCUUCCUAGGUGGUUAAUCACGGCCUCAUCGGGCACGACCUUUCCUAGGUGGUAUUUCACGGCCUCACUGGGCACAACCUCUAAUAGGUGGUCAAUCACAUCCAAUCUCCCAUCAAUUUCUACACUUAGGAUUUCAUAAAGAAUCCCUAUAAAUCGCAAUCACACUCAAUUCAUCACAACCAAUCAUCAAUAUCAAAUUCUAAAUACACAGCAACGAUCAGCACGAAAGUAUGGGAGAAUAAGGUUCCAGAAUAAUUUUCGGAAUUUAUUAAAUAAUUAAAUUUAUUCCGAAAUUAAUUAAAUAAUAAUAUUCAUACUUUUCAUGAUCCAAGCUCAAUUUAUAAAAUCCAAUCAUCAAUUUCAAAAUCUGAAUGUACCAUAGCGACCGGCACGAAAUUCUGAGCAACCGGGGCCAAAAAUAAUUUUUCUGAUUUUUUUUUAAAUAAUAAUAUUUUAAUAAUUUCGGAUUAUAAUAUAAUAUAAUAUUUUCCAGAAUUUCGAAGCACUUAAAUAAUUCAAAACUAAAAAUCAUUUUGUGUCACAUCAAGGCUUAACUUUAAAUAAACUCUCUUAGCAUUUAAUUAAACAUACUUUAGAUUAAACAAACAUCUUAAUCUAAAUCAUAAUUAAAUCAACUAAAUUAACCACCUAAGCUUAAUCAACUUAAGCUAAGCACACCUAAAGCAUAAUUAACCCUCUAAGCGAGGUUUAGUGAGCUAAACUCACCGGAUUAGCGAGCCGAGUAGACCAAAAUGACGGGGAUGACGCGAGGAUCGACUUUCCUCAAAGCGGGCCGAGCAUCCGGGCUCGGGAAGGCGGCCAAAACGUGCCAAACACCUGCUGCCAUACCCAUUUUUCCAGAUUCUGCUUGCUUCUGGUUGGGGGCGAAGGAGGGCGGAUCCGGGGCCGGCUUAGGUCGAAAACGGGCGGAGGAGCUGCGGCGGUGCUGCACGGCCAACGGCGGGGCCUCACGGCGGCGGGGACGAGCUCCGGCAGCUCCUCGAACGCACGAACCGAGGCUGAGACGCAGCUGGGCGUCGGCCAAGUGCGGGCGAGCGCGGGCAACGGCGGAGCGCGAGACGGUGAGCGGCGACGGGCGGAGGCGUGCGACUGCUCCGACGGUGCUGCUUCGGCGUCCAUCCCAUAUCUGGGAUCUCGAGCAGCAAACGAAGAUGGAGAGAAGGCUUCGACGGUGAGCGGACGCACGGCUGCGCGCGCGAGCGGCGGCGACAACGACGGCACCGGCGGCGAGUGACGAGCGGCGAAGGAGGCGGACAGCGAGGGACUGCUUCGGCUUCUUCCUCUGAAAUUUUCUGGUCUUUCGCACAAAGAAGAUGGAGGAGAAACCAACGGAAGGGAGAAGGAGACAAGAGGGAGGAGAGAGAAGGAGGGGGGGCCAUUUUUAUUUUCUUUUUCUCUUUCUUUAAUCCCACACAUUGGCCCACCAUGACAUCAUCAAGUGAUGUCAUACCCCACUAUCCCCAAACCUCUCACAACCUUUUCCAAUGGUUGCAAUUCCAUUUUCCGCCGAGGUCCAAUUCUUGUACACUAAUUUCUCCAAUUCCAUUCAAUUCUCUUCCAAUUGAGUCCAAUUGAAGUUCAUAAAAUUAAUCCAAUGUCACCACACUUCAAUUCACAUCUUCACUUGUCCAUAGAACCAACUUAAGUCCCAAAAGUACGACCAAAAGCGGGCCUACUAAUUUCUCGAGCCAAAUUAGCCAUUCUCUGAUUAUUUUGCUAAAAACUCAGCUUACAUGAAAAAUCUUCCAAAGAUUAGUCAAUAUUCCUAAAAUGAUUUGUGACACACCCAGACUUCCAAUUUCUGAAUUUGAUCUCAAUUUCACGGUUAAUUUCACUUUGGCACGAUAUUAGUGCGGUCCAACCUACCGGGUAGCCUUUAGAAAUUUUCCUGCAUUUGACAUGUGGUUGAUCAUCUCAAGCCACAAUGUACAUCUUUGAAACAUUGGCGACUUUCGGUUGUCGGGGCAAUCUCAAGGUUUCAAAUACGAACACAGGGUACCCAAUCGAUAGAAAAGUCGGUCUAGUGCCGAUCGACAAGAAUUGUGCGAUCCGGUGGAAUCACCCACACCUGAUCACAUGCCUCUGUCGAGUCGUCCUAUCUCCGAUCCCUAAUCGAUCUUUAAUUGUGCCGUAAUGACCCUUGCAGAUUAGCUCGGUCGAAAGGUCGUUUCCUGAUCAAAUUCUCGAGUUUGAUGCAUAAUAAACUCUUAACAGCUUCACCCGAUAGACUAGCUUUCACAUGAGUGGCCGACUCAAGGAAAAGAACUAUAUGCGUGCCAACGAAAUGCCCGUCUCAAUUUAUUGAAAAAUAGACUUGGAAAAUCGGGAUGUCACAACUCUUCCCCUCUUAUAAAAAUUUCGUCCUCGAAAUUUAAACCUUUACCACUUCUUAAAGAAAAAGGUGGGGGUACAGUCGUCUCAUCUAUUAUUCUCUUUCUCAGGUUGCUCCUUCUGCACCAAUACUGCAAGAUCACUGCUAUCUUGCCCAAACCACUUCGGAUUCAAAAUACUAAACGCUUGCCCACUUAAAAUUCCAAAGGCCUUCAACACAAAAUCUGCGAAGCUAAACUGGCGAUUCUGAGCAGUCUCUAAACUGUCUCUGAUAAUUGCAACUGAAUCACUGAUUUCUGAACCAACUCUGAACCUGCGAUUUUCUAAUCUCUAAUCUCAUCUCAACCAAUUGAAGUUCUGAACCCUCUGCUCUACACUGACUAAAAGGAAACUAUUUAACUGAUCUGCUGAAACUAGGAACCUCUGGUCAAGAUCUGAUAUAACUCUGACCCUGAUCUCGGCAACUGCAAUCACUGACCACUGUACAGACCCUGGACUGUGAUCUUUCUUUCCCUGGCUUCAUCUCGGCAAUCGAAAUCCCGUACUCUCUACUAUGCACUGCUUAAGAAAGAACCAUCCGAAAGCUCUACCAACUUGGAACAUCUGAUCUAGAUUCGAAAUACAAUUCAUCCCCGACACUCCAUGCAGAUGAUUUAUAUGAUAUACACACACUUCGGUGUACCCAUUUUCUGACAAGACAGAAUCUCCAAUUUCUAAAAUCGAAUUUAGAUUGGCGGUUAAUUUCACUCCGACACGCUUUUAGUGUGACAUAGGCUAUUAGGUAGUUUUCAGAGCUUUUUAGGACAAAUGACCCGUGGUCGAUUUUCUUCGAUCCACGAUGAACCCACUCGACACAUUGGCGACUCUCGAGGGUCGUGAAAAUCUCGAUGAUUCAAAUACGGACACAGGGUACCAAAACGACAGUAAAAUCAAAUUAGUAUAAGUCGACGAGAGUUUUCCAAUUUAGUGGAGUCACCCACAAUCGGUCAUUCAUCUUAGUCGAACCGACCUAUCUCUGAUCUUAAUUCGUUAACUGUGCCGUAUUGCUCUCUAAAGAUGAGCACGGUCGAGAAGUCGAUUCCUAGUCGAAUUGUCAAGUCUAUUUUCCUUAAGUCCUUAAUAACUCACCCAACUAGUCUAGUUAUCUCGUAAGUGGCCAACUCAGAGAAAAACACUGUAAUCGCGUCGAUGAAAUGCCCAAUUUAACCAAUCGAAAUCAGAGUCUGAAAAUCAACCUCUCUCUCAUCUGCAUUCUCUUACAGAGUCUUUUGAAUUUCUAAAUCUGUCCACUGAAGCACUUUGGUUCUGAUAUGUACUCUCGGUUCAAUUCUGAGGGCAAUCAUAAGAUUCAAAAGGUGGCCUACCUUAGAUUUGGAUACCAAAUUUUGAACUUUCUCAAAUAAGAUCUAAUCCUUGAGUACCAACUGUGCAACUAAAAACUCUCGACUCAAUGCAUCUGCGACUUUGCUCACCUUUCCAGAGUGAUACAAAAUAUCAUGGUCAUAAUCCUUAAUAAGUUCCAUCCAACGACGACAUCUCAUAUUCAACUCCUAAGGCCUCAACUGACAGGACGCAUAUGCAACAACUCUAUCAUGAUGUAUCAACACAUAACCCAAUCCCUUAAACGGCGCAUCACGGUAGAUCUCAAACUUUCAGGACCAGAUGGAAUGGUCAGCACAGGUGCGGUAGUCAGCUUCUGCUUAAGCUCUUGAAAACUACGCUCGCACUCAUCUGUCCACACAAACUUUUCUUACUUCCUCAGUAGUCGAGUCAACUACAACGCUGACGCUGAAAUCCCUUCCUCAAAACUUCUGUAAUAUCCUGCUAAUCCCCAAAAACUUCUAAUCUCUGUCACUGUCGUCAGUCUCGGCCAACUAUUCACUGCUCCAAUCUUAGAUGGGGUCUACGGAGAUUUCUUCGCCUGAAAUCACGUGACCUAGGAGCGCAAUACGAGUCAUCCAAAACUCACAUUUGUUAAACCUAUCGUAAGAUUCAAAAGUACUCAAAGUCUGAAGUAUCAUCCCCAAAUGUCUCUCGUGCUCCUCAGCACUCUUUGAACACACCGGGAUAACUUCACUGAGCACAAUCACAACUGAUUCAAGUACCCUCAAACAUUCUGCUCAUUAGACCCAACAAAUAGCUAAGGUGUCUAUUAAACCACACAACAUUACAGUGAACUCAUAACUACUGUAUCGAGUGCGAGGUCUUAACUUUGGUAUGUCUUUCUUCCUGAUUCUCAACUGAUGAUACCCUGACCUCAAGUCGAUCUUGAAGAAUGUCGAUGUACAACCACAACGAACCACAUUUCUCCUUUAUGAAUAGAACUGAUGCUCCCCAAGGUGAUGCACUAGAAAGUAUGAAUCCCUUAUCCAACACUUUCUGCAUCGACACCUUCAGUUCUUUUAACUCGGGUAACACCAUCUGGUAAGGAGCCUUAGGGACUGGCUUUGUUCCGGGUGCUAAUUCAAUCGCGAACUCCAUUUCUCUUUCUGACUGCAAACUUGACAAUUCUUCAGCAAAUACCUUAGAAAACUUAUGUACCACGGUUACGUUCUCCAUAUUUGGCUCCUCAAUUGACGCAUCCAUUACAGUUGCCAUGUAGAUUCGAUAACCAAUAACCAGAACCAAGUCAUCUUUGGUGACGAAUAACAAGGAUCGAAGUUCCCCUUCGGCUUUCAGUAAUUCAAAACUUUCAUACGCUAACUAAACAAACUGAAUUAUAUCACUGCCACGAUUCAUAACAGCAUAAAGCUCCUCGAGCCAAACCUUUUCAUAAAUGACUCCCAAGUCAUACAUAAGCAACCCAUCAGGUACAACUAUAGUCAAAUACUCAUCUUCCUAUUACUUUAUUACAACAACGGAAACUCCACAACCUUUCUCAAAAUUCUGUUGCGCUAUUUUGAUAAAACACCUCAAAACAUUCUUCCAUUGAUUAAUGCAUAGUCAAUCCAUUAUUAUUCCUUUCGCCAUCCUAGUGGCGUUCUAUCUGCAGUAACAGUGCUUACACUCUCCUGAACUUACACGGACAGUUCCUAACCUGACGGUCGUGCUGGCCACAUUCAAAUCAUGUUCCCUUUUUUACUCUGACACUAGGCUGACUCAUGCCUCCUUUCCACUGACUCGGCACACAAUCAAGGAGUCAUUUACCUCCUAUUAAGGAAUAUCAUGCACCCUUCUUUGCACUGGGGUCUAUUCCAAGUACCCCGCUAAAUGUCCCGAAGCAUGUUUCCCCUGUUCUGUCUUAUCAACAACGAUGCAGAAACAGCUAUAGUUCCAUCCAUCUAUACGAGCCAUCUUUGAUCAAAUGGCUUUACUGGCGACACCCGUAACAAGUCCUUUCCCUCUUACAGCAUGGAACGAAUCCAUGUCUUUUCUUAUAGACACGACACGCAUCGAUCGAGUUGAGCACUGACUUUCCAACUCUACUCUUCUGGUUGGGUGCAACAGGGCAUCUUUCUUCUGACAUCGGCCUUUCUCUCCAACCGAUUUUCAUCUCUGUCUAAACUGAACCUUGACUCAGAUACAGAGACUUGAUCCUCGAUCACAACUCCAUAUUAGGCCUCAACAGGCGCGGCAGUAACAACAGCGGUCACCAUACUGGCAGCGGUAGAAACAACGGCAACAGCAACAGCUCGGUCCUGAGCUCACUGACCCAACAAGCUUCCAAGGAACACUAGCGCCUUAACGAUCCCAUUAAACCUAGGAUCGCUUAGUGCUGCUACACUCUCAGUACCAGCCUACGGCGGUACUCUCACACACACGCUGGACUAAGCCUGCGCUCUACCUCGGGUACCAACUCUUGUCAACAUCCUACCCCGAGGUACAGGUCCUAUCGACCUCUUCCAAGGAGUCCUCCACUCCUGGUCACUCAUCUUACAGGUUCCUUAUAGACACCUGUUUUCCGAUUCCAACAUCAGGUUGAAAUUUGAGUGACCCCACAAACAAGCUACCAAUCAGCUAUCACUCACAUGCAUCAGCAUAUUAAAAGCCUUUCCUACUAACUAUCCCAUGACUCAUCGCACCUUAUUACUCCAUACCCAAACCAUGCUCUGAUACCACUUAAACGGGGAUGUCACGCCCCGAACCCCGAGCGCGCGCACAUCCCACUGCGGUCGAUCAAAAUGCGACAUCCCAGGAUAUGUCGCCGACCCAUUCAUUCCUUUACGCAUGCGGAAGCGAAACAAAUCCCCUGACAACAUUUAACUUGGGAUAGAAAAGCAGGCAAUCAAUCACAAUACCAAACACCCAUUUACAAACACAAAGGGUUUAAAUACAACACUGGACUUUCUACAAAAUAGACCAGCUCGACGAAAUGGGAACUAUCCUACAACCGACUAGCAGGACACGCUCUCCAACCCUUAUGACUUCACCUCUGCAACUCCUCAAGGCCAACCAAAGCUAUCUGGCCACUCCGUCCAUCGGGGACCUGAAAUUUUAAUCCCACAACCGGGAUGAGACAAUGUCUCAGCAAGUUCAACCCCCUAAACCCCUAUUAGAAAGAAAAUACGCCCCGGGUGGCCUAGCCACAUCACACAGAAGACUUACCUCGCCUC
This 7651-nucleotide long non-coding RNA is filed under the name Eucalyptus grandis. Its description in RNAcentral is "long non-coding RNA (EGRA_LNC000127)". The record is from RNAcentral. Lineage: Eukaryota; Viridiplantae; Streptophyta; Magnoliopsida; Myrtales; Myrtaceae.